AAAAAGAAGCUAGCUAGCAAUAAAUCAUAGUCAAGGGAGGAUUCAAAGUCUUAUUAGAAUGUACCGAGGAACUAUUGUUUCGUUUGUGAGUUAGAAAAUUCAUUUGUGAAAUGCUCCUGUUUGCAAUCUCAUUUAUGAUAAGAAAUUGGCAAAUUGAACCUAUUUUUCUCUCUCCUUAUCUGCAAAACUAUUCCAACCUAAGCUAUCUAUAAAUGGCCUAAUUGCUUCUUGCAGGCUGUGUUCCUGUGUAGUUCUAAACUUAAUGUACUGCUGGAUCUGCCUAUUUACCAUCUGUAUUUUGAUAUUUUAAAGCUGAGGGUUUAUUUUUUUGUUGCAUUUAGAAUUCAAGUUUUAAUUAUCAAGAACUUGAAGAUUUUGUUUGAUUAAGGCGUGGCGCUGAAUUGCUGAUACAGCUAUAAAGGGUCAAAACUGUGGGAGAAGAUCAUGAUAUGUAAGAAUUUUUUUAAGAAGGCUGCCAAGGAUGUACAUUGCAUGAGUUGUACUUCAAUGGUGCAACGAUGCAUUUCGUAGCAACGACCUAGGAGGCUGGAUAAGGUGGGUGGAGACCGAUAGUGAGGACAAUAUUGGAGACCAUUUUGGAUAUCGAGAUGAAGAAUCUUACCAUUGUAAGGGAUAGAACUGUAUAGUUGUAUAGGAGUGGAAAUUCUCUUCUUAGUCUUGGUUUUGAACUUUAUAUUGGCCGUCCUUUAGUUAUCAGUUGUAAGUAAUGGUAAAGGAAAUGGAUUUAACUAUUUAAGUGUAAUUAACAUCUACGGUAAUGCACAAGUGAUGCUCCUAAAAAUUUAUGUUGAAGAAUUUGGUAAAGUAGAUAUGGCCAUAUGGGCUUUGGCUGAGAAUUGUCUAAAACUUGAUUAGAUUUCUUAUUUUCUUUGCCUAAA
Chenopodium quinoa (quinoa) is the source of this 899-nucleotide long non-coding RNA. RefSeq lists it as uncharacterized. The record is from RefSeq and is a predicted model, not a curated record. The transcript is spliced from 2 exons. Lineage: Eukaryota; Viridiplantae; Streptophyta; Magnoliopsida; Caryophyllales; Amaranthaceae.